This 680-nucleotide ribosomal RNA is filed under the name uncultured fungus. Its description in RNAcentral is "eukaryotic LSU rRNA". It matches the Rfam family "Eukaryotic large subunit ribosomal RNA", at positions 1 to 656 of the family's 3401-position model. Lineage: Eukaryota; Fungi. The record is from RNAcentral.
UUGACCUCAAAUCGGGUGAGACUACCCGCUGAACUUAAGCAUAUCAAUAAGCGGAGGAAAAGAAACUAACAAGGAUUCCCCUAGUAACUGCGAGUGAAGCGGGAAAAGCUCAAAUUUAAAAUCUGGCGGUCCCUGGCCGUCCGAGUUGUAAUUUAGAGAAGCGUCUUCCGCGCCGGGCCGUGCACAAGUCUCCUGGAAUGGAGCGUCAUAGAGGGUGAGAAUCCCGUCUUUGGCACGGACGCCUGUGCUUCUGCGAUGCGCUCUCGAAGAGUCGAGUUGUUUGGGAAUGCAGCUCAAAAUGGGUGGUGAACUCCAUCUAAAGCUAAAUAUUGGCGAGAGACCGAUAGCGAACAAGUACCGUGAGGGAAAGAUGAAAAGCACUUUGGAAAGAGAGUGAAACAGUACGUGAAAUUGUUGAAAGGGAAACGCUUGAAGUCAGUCGCGUCGACCGAGACUCAGCCUUGCCUCGGCUUGGUGUACUUCUCGGCCCGACGGGUCAGCGUCAAUUUUGCCCCUCGGAUAAUGGCAAGGGAAAGGUGGCACCUUUGCGGGUGUGUUAUAGUCUCCUGUCGCAUGCGAGGGGUGGGAUUGAGGAACUCAGCGCGCACCUUGGUGUCGGGGCUUCGGCCCACGUCACGCGCUUAGGAUGCUGGCGUAAUGGCUUUAAACGACCCGUCUUG